This 366-nucleotide ribosomal RNA is filed under the name uncultured organism. Its description in RNAcentral is "bacterial SSU rRNA". It matches the Rfam family "Bacterial small subunit ribosomal RNA", at positions 526 to 896 of the family's 1533-position model. The record is from RNAcentral.
CGGAGGAUCCAAGCGUUAUCCGGAAUCAUUGGGUUUAAAGGGUCCGUAGGCGGGUUUAUAAGUCAGUGGCGAAAGCCCAUCGCUCAACGAUGGAACGGCCAUUGAUACUGUAGAUCUUGAAUUAUUAGGAAGUAACUAGAAUAUGUAGUGUAGCGGUGAAAUGCUUAGAGAUUACAUGGAAUACCAAUUGCGAAGGCAGGUUACUACUAAUGGAUUGACGCUGAUGGACGAAAGCGUGGGUAGCGAACAGGAUUAGAUACCCUGGUAGUCCACGCCGUAAACGAUGGAUACUAGCUGUUCGGAGCAAUCUGAGUGGCUAAGCGAAAGUGAUAAGUAUCCCACCUGGGGAGUACGUUCGCAAGAAUG